UACCAGCUCUCCGAGUGGUGGGGACGCUUACUGGGCCUAAAGCAUCCGUAGCUUGCUGGGUAAGUCCUCUGUUAAAUCCAACGAUUCAAUCGUUGGACUGCGGGGGAUACUGUCCAGCUGGGGGGCGGGAGAGGCCGGCGGUAUUCCCGGGGUAGGGGUGAAAUCUUAUAAUCCCGGGAGGACCACCAGUGGCGAAGGCCACCGGCUAGAACGCGCCCGACAGUGAGGGAUGAAAGCUGGGGGAG
Molecule: ribosomal RNA, 245 nt
Filed under: uncultured Thermoprotei archaeon
Lineage: Archaea; Thermoproteati; Thermoproteota; Thermoprotei
Description: partial 16S ribosomal RNA
Rfam family: Archaeal small subunit ribosomal RNA
Source: RNAcentral